Molecule: long non-coding RNA, 1050 nt
Organism: Onychostoma macrolepis
Lineage: Eukaryota; Metazoa; Chordata; Actinopteri; Cypriniformes; Cyprinidae
Exons: 3
Source: RefSeq, a predicted model, not a curated record
UUUAGCUUUAAUGGCUUUAUUUUAAUUUCAGUUUUAGUAAUUUUAGUACUUCAACUUAAAACUUAUUUUAGUUAAUUGCCAUGUAAGGCAACAUGGUAACACAUUAGUAUAGGGACCAACACUCACUAAACUGUUAGACAUUUCUGUAAUUUCCACAGUUAUUUACUGUAUAUCACCCAGUGUAAUGCUGCAAAUUCCCUUUACAGUAAAUAACUGUAAUACCCUUUGCAUCAUGGGAAUUUUCUGUGACGUCAGACCCCACAUACAGAGACUUACUGUAUUUUUUUAAAUUGCUGUAUACUACUGUAACGGUCUCUUUGGCGCCAUUAUACUGAGGUCGUUUUAUUUUCCUAAUUUCUUACAUUUGGAUUGACAGGAUUUGCCCUACACCAUGUGUACAACGCCGCAGCAGCUUGGGACUGACUACAGUACGUGUUACAUCGCUUCUAAUGAUUGGAAAAUCCGUUUGUACUUCGUGUCAGAAACAGCGCAAGCGCUUGGAGUACAUCUGAACGUCAGAAAUAUACCGGGGCAUCAGUUUACUGUCCGCAUCCACUGUAGAUAGUAUAUAUAAUGGGUUCUAUAUUGUUGGCUGUUGUCGACUCGCGCCUCGCCGCGCCACUCGCGUCCGACGAAGACACGGAAGCAGCGCCGCCGGUUUUUCCCGGGGAUGAACCCGCGAGAGUGGAAGAGCUCCGGAGAACAUCUGCGCUGUGUGUCGAUGCACCUUAGGAGAGAAUAAGACCAGCAAGCAAGGCAACUGCAAUGAAGCAUCAAGAAAGACAUGAGCAGGCCAGCCACCCUGAGACUGAUAAUUCAUGAGAAGGCAUUUCUGUCAAAGUGGACGGUGAGCAAAGAUGGUGGCCGUGUUUUGGAGCAGCACCUGGGUUUUGCAGAGGGCUAUGUAUUUUUUGGCUGUUUGUCUUUUUCCCCAUUAUGUUUCUGUAGCCUAAAUAUUCUUUGUGAGGAUGAAUCCAGAGGACACAACAUAAUGCACUGCAAAACGUCCUAAGACAGGAGAAAUGGUGAAGAUGCACUGUUCCAGCAUUG